GCAGGUUCGAAUCCUGCACGACCCACCAAUUUAACAUCAAACUCAGAUGUUGAACGUGAAGGAUAACGUUGCGUCAGCAACGGCCCGUAGGGCGAGGCGGAGCCGAGUCAUCCUGCACGACCCACCA
RNAcentral lists this small RNA (127 nucleotides) under Salmonella enterica subsp. enterica serovar Braenderup. Its description in RNAcentral is "partial RtT sRNA". It matches the Rfam family "RtT RNA", at positions 37 to 130 of the family's 130-position model. From Rfam's summary of the family: This family represents a bacterial cis-regulatory element known as RtT RNA. The exact function of RtT is unknown although it is thought that it may be involved in changing the cellular response in relation to amino acid starvation. The record is from RNAcentral. Lineage: Bacteria; Pseudomonadati; Pseudomonadota; Gammaproteobacteria; Enterobacterales; Enterobacteriaceae.